Molecule: ribosomal RNA, 1810 nt
Filed under: human oral metagenome
Description: bacterial LSU rRNA
Rfam family: Bacterial large subunit ribosomal RNA
Source: RNAcentral
GGCUUAGAAGCAGCCAUGCCUUGAAAGAGUGCGUAAUAGCUCACUGGUCGAGAGUAUCUGCGCCGAAGAUGUAACGGGGCUGAAGACAUAAACCGAAGCUGUGGAAGCGGCCAUGCCGCUUGGUAGGAGAGCGUUCUGUAGGUCUGCGAAGGCUGGCCGGAAGGCCUGCUGGAGACAUCAGAAGCGAGAAUGCAGGAAUGAGUAGCGAGAAGGAGGGCGAGAAUCCCUCCGGCCGGAAGUCCAAGGUUUCCGGGGGAAGGUUUGUCCGCCCCGGGGAAGUCGGGACCUAAGCGUAAGCAGAGAUGUGAUUGCGAAUGGGAAACAGGUUAAUAUUCCUGUACCGCUGUCAGUCGCCUGAGUGACGGAGUGACGCAGCAAGGUAUGUGAGAAGGCUGACGGAAUAGCCUUUCUAAAGGCGUAGCCUGGGCACGCAGGCAAAUCCGCGUGCCUAAAGGUGAGACCCUAUGGGCAAGUGCUCCUGCACAAGUCACAGAUCCUACACUGCCAAGAAAAACUUCUAGCGAGACUGGACAGCGCCCGUACCCUAAACCGACACAGGUGGACAGAGUGAGAAACUUAAGGCCGACAGGAUAACUCUAGCUAAGGAACUCUGCAAAAUAGCCCCGUAACUUCGGGAGAAGGGGUGCCUGACAUACCUGAGAGGAGAAACGCCUCAAGGGGAAACAGGCCGCAGUGAAGAGUCUCAAGCAACUGUUUACCAAAAACACAGGUCUAUGCUAAGCUGAAAGGCGACGUAUAUGGGCUGACACCUGCCCAGUGCCGGAAGGUUAAGAGGAGGAGUGAGAGCUCCGAUUUGAAGCCCCGGUGAACGGCGGCCGUAACUAUAACGGUCCUAAGGUAGCGAAAUUCCUUGUCGGGUAAGUUCCGACCUGCACGAAUGGUGUAAUGAUUUGAGCGCUGUCUUGACGGGAGGCCUGGUGAAAUUGUAUUACCGGUGAAGAUACCGGUUACCUACAGUAGGACGGAAAGACCCCAUGGAGCUUUACUGUAGCUUGGUAUUGGGUUUUGGCAUUGCAUGUAUAGGAUAGUUGGGAGACUAUGAUGAUAUGGCGCUAGCUGUAUCGGAGUCAUCGGUGGAAUACCAACCAUUCAAUGCUGAAAUUCUAAUCUGUGGUUUGUAGCCACGGAGACAGUGCUAGGUGGGCAGUUUGACUGGGGCGGUCGCCUCCGAAAGAGUAACGGAGGCGUUCAAAGGUUCUCUCAGGUUGGAUGGAAAUCAACCAUAGAGUGCAAUGGCAUAAGAGAGCUUGACUGCAAGACUGACGGGUCGAGCAGAUGCGAAAGCAGGACAUAGUGAUCCGGCGAUUCCGAAUGGAAGGGUCGUCGCUCAACGGAUAAAAGCUACCCUGGGGAUAACAGGCUGAUCCUACCCGAGAGUCCAUAUCGACGGUAGGGUUUGGCACCUCGAUGUCGGCUCAUCGCAUCCUGGGGCUGGAGAAGGUCCCAAGGGUUGGGCUGUUCGCCCAUUAAAGCGGUACGUGAGCUGGGUUCAGAACGUCGUGAGACAGUUCGGUCCCUAUCCACUGUAGGCGUUAGAAUAUUGAGAAGACCUGUCCUUAGUACGAGAGGACCGGGAUGGACAAACCUCUGAUGUACCAGUUGUCACGCCAGUGGCACAGCUGGGUAGUCACGUUUGGAAUAGAUAACCGCUGAAAGCAUCUAAGCGGGAAACUAACUUCAAGAUAAGUAUUCUUUAAGAUACCUUCGAGCCUAGGAGGUUGAUAGGUUGGGGGUGUAAGUACAGCAAUGUAUUUAGCUGACCAAUACUAAUUAUCGAAGUUUUAAUCUA